RNAcentral lists this ribosomal RNA (363 nucleotides) under Triticum aestivum (bread wheat). Its description in RNAcentral is "partial small subunit ribosomal RNA". The record is from RNAcentral. Lineage: Eukaryota; Viridiplantae; Streptophyta; Magnoliopsida; Poales; Poaceae.
AUGAUUCAAGCCUCUACAACUACAACAUCUUCUCCCUUGCAGGCUGAAGCAUGGGCUCUCUUGUUUGCAGCAAAGAUUGCUAAUCAUCUCAACAUCAUCCAGGUUUCCUUUCUCACUGAUAACCUGAUCCUGGCAAGAGCAGCAGCUCAGAGAAGCAUUGAUUCAUGUAAAGUUGGUUGGGAAAUCAGGAAGGAACUUGCAGAUUACAUUCAUACCACGAAAGAACUCCAACCUCAAGUAUUUCAUAUCUCAAGAGAGCUAAAUGGAGUUUCUCAAACUGUGCACAUCAGGUACUCAACAACUUGGUUGAACCUAUCUUUAGUUGUGUUAAUUCAGCUCAUAGAAAUAGGCCAUGUCCUGUAA